ACGCACCAAAUCUCUACAAUAGAGAUGUAGAAAUUUUAUCCAACUUUUGAACAAGAAGAAGAAGAGACAUCCAUGUCUAAACAUGGACAAGAGAGAGAGAAGAUGAUGUCCAAAAAUAACCAACAAUUGGUUGUAAGAAAGAAAGGAUACAUACCUCACGCCAAUGACCCUUUUCACACCGUGCGCUCCCCUCUUUUUUCUCCCUUGUAUUCCAUGCACAAUAUCUCUCCUUUGGGUGUCCAAAACUAAUCCUCUCUCUCUUUUAACCAUCCCAUAUUGCUAGUUUAAAUAGGCCAAGAUAGAGUUUUAAUUUAAUUAGGAGAUAAGAGUCCAAAGGGCCUUGGACUCUAUCCAUUUUUGUGCCCCCCAAACACCAAAGAUUUUUGCCCAGAUUUCUCACGAUAAUUAAGGGAGAAAAUUCAUUCUUUCUUACAUGCACAAAAGGGAGGAAAGUGGCAUCAAAAAAUCUGGUAAGGCGUGGAUCUUUUGGGUGCACAAAUACAAGGUGGCGUGGAGUCCUUUUAGUGCAUGGAAUCAAUGUAUUUCAAGAACAUGGAACUCUUGUUUAAUGUGGCUGUUUUAAGUCAAACAAAAUACCAAUUAAUCCUAAUCAUAUGAGGACCAGAUUAGACUCAAAUAGAUGAGAAUCUAAAUCUGAUUUGGAGCCCAAUCUAUUUAGAUUAUAUGUCUCCUAAUUGGAGGAGGAGUCCUAAUCCAAUUAGACUCUUUCUUAGUGCUUGAGUCAAACUCAAUUUUUAAUCCUAAUCUAAUUAGAAUUUGGUGCACCUAUCAAAAUGAG
RNAcentral lists this long non-coding RNA (799 nucleotides) under Elaeis guineensis (African oil palm). RNAcentral describes it as "long non-coding RNA (EGUI_LNC000709)". The record is from RNAcentral. Lineage: Eukaryota; Viridiplantae; Streptophyta; Magnoliopsida; Arecales; Arecaceae.